GAUGAACGCUGGCGGCGUGCCUAAUACAUGCAAGUCGAACGAAUCUUCUUCGGAAGAUGAGUGGCGAACGGGUGAGUAACACAUAGGUAACCUGCCCCUGUGCGGGGGAUAACAGGAGGAAACUCCUGCUAAUACCGCAUAGCCAUGAGCACCGCAUGGAGCUCAUGCCAAAGAUCCGUUCGGGGAUAGCGCAGGGAUGGACCUAUGGCGCAUUAGCUGGUUGGCGGGGCAACGGCCCACCAAGGCAACGAUGCGUAGCCGGCCUGAGAGGGCGGACGGCCACAUUGGGACUGAGACACGGCCCAGACUCCUACGGGAGGCAGCAGUAGGGAAUUUUCGGCAAUGGGGGAAACCCUGACCGAGCAACGCCGCGUGAGCGAAGAAGGCCUUCGGGUCGUAAAGCUCUGUUGUAAAGGAAGAACGGCGCAUACAGGAAAUGGUAUGCGAGUGACGGUACUUUACCAGAAAGCCACGGCUAACUACGUGCCAGCAGCCGCAGUAA
This 502-nucleotide ribosomal RNA is filed under the name uncultured bacterium. RNAcentral describes it as "partial 16S ribosomal RNA". It matches the Rfam family "Bacterial small subunit ribosomal RNA", at positions 28 to 523 of the family's 1533-position model. The record is from RNAcentral.